Molecule: long non-coding RNA, 1290 nt
Organism: Lemur catta (Ring-tailed lemur)
Lineage: Eukaryota; Metazoa; Chordata; Mammalia; Primates; Lemuridae
Exons: 5
Source: RefSeq, a predicted model, not a curated record
CUCCCCGUUUUUUCUCCCCACCUCCUACCUUCCUCCCCUCCCCCCAGGCCCCAAGUGCAGAGCCUGGAGGCUGUGCCCUGCCCUGGGGUGGGUCAAGCCCUGGUCCCCAAGACCAAGAUGUGCCCUGCCACCCCCUCCCUCACAACCUCUUAAUGGACCAGCUUGCCCCGUCUGGGGGCCUGGACACACCCCACCUUUUCCAGGCAUCCCCAAAUCCCCAAGGUUUCCUGCACCCCCAGGCCCUGGAGCCAGCUCCCCUGGAGACCUGACCUGCAGUGUGGGCAGAGCUUGCAGGCACUCAGGAUACUUGGCUGCUGACAAAGUUCUUCACCAGUCAGGCACAUCUAGAACAUUCCAAACCAGGCCUCUCCUGUUUUCCCAGAAUGAGGUCUUCCUGCCAAGGAGCCGGCGGCCGCAGCAGGAGAAUGCCCUUCAGGGCCAGCGUCUAGACAGGCCUGGGGCCACCCCGGGAACAUGCUGGAGGGGACCGGCAGCAGAGGCGGGACUGGCUGUUAGACACACGGGCUCUGAACAUGGUAGAGGGCAGCCCAGGACAGAGGAGACAAGGCACAGCUGUCCUGGAGCCCACACUUCUAGCUUCAUGACCUUCGAUAAUCCCAAACCUCUCUAACCUGUUUCCUAAUUUGUACCAGGGGGAUGGGAGAGAAUUAAAUGAAGCCUCCAAAAAGCUACUCUCCUUGUUCCCGCCUCUCAAGCAUCAUUGCCCAGGACUGCCUUUCAUUGCUGCUGUUGUUUUGCAUUUUAUCGUGGAACGUUUCGAACAUACCUAAAUGCCGAGUGUUUGGACACUGAGGUCAUGUUUUGUAAAAAUUCUCUACAUUUCCCCUCCCGGAAUGCCGACAUCCCUCUAGGGAGAUGAGCACGCCUCAUGGAAGGACUUUGAUGCCUCUAUUGAACCUUGUGCCAAUCCCGUGGACCCAUGAUUCCAGACAGGAUGAGGAACCACGACCGGUCCCAGAACCACAGGACUGGGCAUCUGGCAACCAGACAGCCUUCGUCUCUGGCGUCACCGAGCUCUGCUAGCUGCAUUCCCUGACGCAUAAAGGAUGUCGUAGGCUUUGCAUGAAAACACACCCACAGGCAAGGAUUGUUCCCACCUGGUUAGGAUUCAGUUUUGAAAAGUUAUCGUAUGGAGUAGCCUGAGUGAAAGAUUCUCUUCUAAGAACUCUGGACUUGCUGACAGAAGUAAAAAACAUGUUCACAUCUUCCUUGGGCACCGGGACAGCCCUCUUCGAGGCCAGCACUCCAUGCUUGCUUGCAAAGCACUCG